This is a long non-coding RNA of Cairina moschata (Muscovy duck), 1785 nucleotides long. The record is from Ensembl. NCBI's taxonomy places the organism in Eukaryota, Metazoa, Chordata, Aves, Anseriformes, Anatidae.
AUGGGGCCCGGCUGCAGCGGCGUUUGGGGACCGACCCCCCCCCGGCCGGCGGCUCCCGAGGGGGAAUCGCUCGGGGCCGCCCCCGGUUCGCCUCCAGCCCGGCCGGACCCCGCCGGGCACCGGGGGCGAGCCCCGCAGCCCAGCCCCGCUCCCUGCCCCGCUCCCAGCCCCGCUCCCGGUCCCGCUCCCGUCCCCGAGGCGCCCCGGGCAUCUCCAGCAGCCGGCCCCGACCCCGGCCCCGCUCCCGGUGCCCCCCCGGUCCCUCCCGGUGCCCCCGCCCCGAGCCGCUCACCGCGGGCGGCGGGAUCCCGACCAGGCAGAAGGCGAUGCCAUUCAUCGGGGCGCGGCUCGGCCCGGCACGGCUCGGCCCGGCACGGCCCAGCGAGUCCCGGUGCGGCUCGGUACGGCCCCGCACCGCGCGGUCCCGCUCGGCUCGGCUCGGCUCGGGCUGCGCCGGCCCCGGCCCCGGCUCCGCCUCCUCCGGGCGCCAGCGGGAGCGGGCGGGGCGCGGCACGGCUCGGAACGGCUCGGAACGGCACGGGGGGCAGCACCGGGACCGCGACGGGCACAGAUGGGGACCGAGGGGGGCUGCGGGGGGCAGGGGUCAGCCCGGGAGCGGGACCGGGGACAGCCGGGACAGAGGGACAAGGGACAGCCAGGACACGGGGACCGGGACACGGGGACCGGGAGCACCCGGGACAGAGGGACGAGGGACAGCCACAGCCAGGACAGAGGGACCGGGGACACCCGGGACACGGGGACCGGGGCCCGGAGCAGGACGGUGCAGCGGUAGCGGGCGGCAGGACAGCAGGACAGGGACAGCCGGACGGCAGCAGCAGGGAGAGGCCAAGGCCGGGCGAUGCAGAGGGACAGACGGACAGGAAACGCCAGGACAGAGGGACAGGACUGCCAGGGGCUGGCACGGGUCGGCACAGGGACGGAAACACCGGGCUGGGGCUGACGGAGAGCCAACGGCUGACACGGGUCGUGGGGAGAGGAAACGGCCAGGACGGAAGCAGCAGGACAGAUGGACACGGCCUUGCCCAGCGGACAGAGGGACAGGGGACAGCCGGGCAGGGCCUGGCUCAGUUCCGACUGCUCGGAGCACACCAAAGCAUCCUGAAAUCAUCCCAAAACAGCCACCGGGCACAUCCACCCCGCACCUCAGCCUCGGGGUGCCCACGGCUCCACCGAGGCUUCGAGCCCACCAAGGGCUUGGCCAAGGCACGCAGGAGGGACCCGGGUCUGGCCCUGCCACCUCCCCAAAGCUGCCUCCCCCCCAGGGGCAUCAAUCAGCCUUUGAAUAACCUCGUGGGGGAAGUUUCAGUUACCCUCCCCGCAGAGGAGGGAAGCCGAGCAGCUUUGCCAGCUCCUGCACCCUCGCCCUGGGGUGCCGCAGGGCGACGGCGGAGGGGAAACGGAGCCACACGUGACGGGAAAGCGGGAGGAGGCGCAGGAAGCCGGGGAGGAAUGACGGCCACAGCCCGUGGGGACGCACGGACGCCGGGUGGGGAGGACGGGCAGAGCCACGGGGCUGGGGCUGGGCUCCAGCUGGGGGCAGCGGGGCUGAGCCCAGGGGCCUGGCACGGAGGUUUCGGUCUCCCGGUCUUACCAGCAGCAGCAGCACCCCGAGGUGGGGCCCCUCAGCUGCUGGUGGGUGCCACCGUCCCCAGCCCAGCGGGGACAUCGCUCAGUGCCAGCCCCAAGCACUCCCCAGCCCCCCCCCGAGCUGCUUUCCCUGCCCACCCCCCCCCGGAGGUGCCAACCUGCACGCGCCUGGCGUGA